AAGUCGUAACAAGGUUUCCGUAGGUGAACCUGCGGAAGGAUCAUUAACACGUUAAACCCCCCUGUGAAUUAUCGCAGCUCUUGCAGACGUCGGUAAGUUUGCAAUCCCUGGUAAAUCAUUGAACAGAUUUUGAUUCAGGGACCUCUAACACCGACAGCUGCAAUUCGAGCGCUUGUGCAAUUUCCCCAAGCUGCCAGUGUCUGAAAGUGUCGCUGGUUGUGUAAGGAAAACGCUUUACGAUCGCUGGAGGCCGACACGGGGUGACCGGGCUGCUGUGGCUAUAUGCCCCCUAUAUUUACCCCACUACCUGAACUUGGGUCGCAGGAAACUGCUUCCCCUUAAAUCCGAACAACUGUUAACAAUGGAUAUCUUCUC
Molecule: unclassified non-coding RNA, 375 nt
Filed under: fungal sp.
Lineage: Eukaryota; Fungi
Description: partial internal transcribed spacer region
Rfam family: Eukaryotic small subunit ribosomal RNA (bases 1-46)
Source: RNAcentral